GAUGAACGCUGGCGGCGUGCCUAAUACAUGCAAGUUGAGCGAUGAAGAUUGGUGCUUGCACCAAUUUGAAGAGCAGCGAACGGGUGAGUAACGCGUGGGGAAUCUGCCUUUGAGCGGGGGACAACAUUUGGAAACGAAUGCUAAUACCGCAUAACAACUUUAAACAUAAGUUUUAAGUUUGAAAGAUGCAAUUGCAUCACUCAAAGAUGAUCCCGCGUUGUAUUAGCUAGUUGGUGAGGUAAAGGCUCACCAAGGCGAUGAUACAUAGCCGACCUGAGAGGGUGAUCGGCCACAUUGGGACUGAGACACGGCCCAAACUCCUACGGGAGGCAGCAGUAGGGAAUCUUCGGCAAUGGACGAAAGUCUGACCGAGCAACGCCGCGUGAGUGAAGAAGGUUUUCGGAUCGUAAAACUCUGUUGGUAGAGAAGAACGUUGGUGAGAGUGGAAAGCUCAUCAAGUGACGGUAACUACCCAGAAAGGGACGGCUAACUACGUG
Molecule: ribosomal RNA, 497 nt
Filed under: uncultured bacterium
Lineage: Bacteria
Description: partial 16S ribosomal RNA
Rfam family: Bacterial small subunit ribosomal RNA
Source: RNAcentral